GGGUGAGGAUCACGUGAGAAACCUGCCCCAGACUUUGGGAUAACACCGGGAAACCGGUGCUAAUACCGGAUACUCCAUCUUGGCGGCAUCGCCGAGCUGGGAAAAAAUUUUGAUGAAAGAUGGUCUCGCGGCCUAUCAGCUAGUUGGUGAGGUAAAGGCUCACCAAGGCGACGACGGGUAGCCGGCCUGAGAGGGCGACCGGCCACACUGGGACUGAGACACGGCCCAGACUCC
Molecule: ribosomal RNA, 234 nt
Filed under: uncultured bacterium
Lineage: Bacteria
Description: partial 16S ribosomal RNA
Rfam family: Bacterial small subunit ribosomal RNA
Source: RNAcentral